This is a non-coding RNA of Podospora didyma, 122 nucleotides long. Lineage: Eukaryota; Fungi; Ascomycota; Sordariomycetes; Sordariales; Podosporaceae. The record is from the annotation of a GenBank genome assembly.
GAUCGGGUGGCACAAUGGUAGCUCGUUGUCUUCCGGCUGUACAUGACUCACUCGCAAGAGCUCAUUCAUCAUUCUGAAACUAAACUUGGCAAAGGCUCUGGGUUCGAAUCCCAGCUCGAUCG